GAGUUUCCACUUUUCGACAAUGACUUCUAACAAUCUAUUUCUGGUCAUUUCACAAUUAUAAAAGGUGGUGUCACAACUGCGUCUGCUGUUAGUGAUUUGUGAUUAAUUGGUGACGCUGUUCUGUUGGUAAACAUGAAAAUUUUAGUUUCUUUGAUUCUUGUGGUGUUCGCAUUUCUGGUGUGUAUCAACGCUGAAGAUGACAAAGUCUUUCCGAUACGUAAUCGGGGUAGAAUAGAGCACGGAUCCGACGGAGUGUUCUACGUUGACAACUAUCCACUUGAUUGUUUGGCGGACGCACCCUGUCUACACAUUUCAAAGAGACCUUCAUAAAAUAGCCACACGAGUUAAAGUUGUUAAUUGAAUGUAAACGAAAUUUUCGACAAAUUAAAGAAAAUUCUGACAGCUUAUGGUCUUAUA
Long non-coding RNA from Bradysia coprophila, 417 nucleotides. RefSeq lists it as uncharacterized. NCBI's taxonomy places the organism in Eukaryota, Metazoa, Arthropoda, Insecta, Diptera, Sciaridae. The record is from RefSeq and is a predicted model, not a curated record.